CCGUGAGAGCAGCGCCGAGCACCCGCAAGGGUGCGGAAGUCACUAGAGCCCAGGUCGCCAAGAAAAGCCUCUAGCCAGAUCCGUUUCCGCCCGUACCGCAAACCGACACAGGUAGGCAGGGAGAAAUAUCCCAAGGUGAUCGAGCGACCCUCUGUUAAGGAACUCGGCAAAAUGACCCCGAACCUUCGGAAGAAGGGGUGCCUUAGUAACUUUACGGAAAGUCCGUGAGGUGAGGAGGCUGCAAAAAAGAGGCUCAACCGACUGUUUACCAAAAACAUAGGUCUCUGCGAACGCGAGAGCGGAAGUAUAGGGGCUGACUCCUGCCCAGUGCCGGAAGGUUAAGAGGAGCGGUGCAAGCUGCGAAUCGAAGCCCCGGUGAACGGCGGCCGUAACUAUAACGGUCCUAAGGUAGCGAAAUUCCUUGUCGGGUAAGUUCCGACCCGCACGAAAGGAGUAACGAGUUGAGCACUGUCUCGACAGAGGACUCGGCGAAAUUGAAAGACCCGUGAAGAUACGGGUUACCCACGACAGGACAAAAAGACCCCGUGGAGCUUUACUACACCUUGGUCUGGAAAUGAGGGACAGCGUGCGUAGGAUAGGUGGGAGCCGGAGAAUCCAUCCUUGUGGGGAUGGAGGAGGCAACGGUGAAAUACCACUCUCGAUGUGUUUUGUUUCUCACGCAGGUAGCUGUGGACAGGGCCAGGCGGGUAGUUUGACUGGGGCGGUCGCCUCCCAAAGAGUAACGGAGGCGCCCAAAGGUUCCCUCAGGGUGAAUGGAAACCACCCACAAAGAGUGGAAAGGCAGAAGGGAGCUUGACUGCGAGGCGGACAUGCCGAGCAGGGACGAAAGUCGGGCUUAGUGAUCCCACACGGCUGAGUGGAAGGCGUGUGGCUCAACGGAUAAAAGCUACCCCGGGGAUAACAGGCUGAUCUUGCCCAAGAGUUCAAAUCGACGGCAAGGUUUGGCACCUCGAUGUCGGCUCGUCGCAUCCUGGGGCUGGAGUAGGUCCCAAGGGUUGGGCUGUUCGCCCAUGAAAGCGGCACGCGAGCUGGGUUCAGAACGUCGCGAGACAGUUCGGUCUCUAUCCGUCGUGGGCGCAGGAAAAGAGAGGGAAGUCAUCUUCAGUACGAGAGGACCGAGAUGGCUGGACCGCUGGUGAGCCAGUUGGGGGGCCUCCCCCAGAGCUGGAUAGCUAUGUCCAGAAAGGAGAAGCGCUGAAAGCAUCUAAGCGCGAAGCCGCUCCCAAGAUCCAUUUUCCCACUCGCACAGCGAGUGAAGAUCCCAGGAAGAAGACCUGGUAGACAGACGACACGUGGACGCUUGGUAACAGGUGAAGCGAAGUCGUGCUGAUGAUCGAACGGCUUGUAAGC
Molecule: non-coding RNA, 1371 nt
Filed under: Ktedonobacter sp. 13_2_20CM_53_11
Lineage: Bacteria; Bacillati; Chloroflexota; Ktedonobacteria; Ktedonobacterales; Ktedonobacteraceae
Description: bacterial LSU rRNA
Rfam family: Bacterial large subunit ribosomal RNA
Source: RNAcentral